UUAAAGGAAUUGACGGAAGGGCACCACAAGACAUGGGGCCUGCGGCUUAAUUUGACUCAACGCGGGACAACUCACCAGGUCCGGACACAGGAAGGAUUGACAGAUUAAGAGCUCUUUCUUGAUUCUGUGGGUGGUGGUGCAUGGUCGUUCUUAGUUCGUGGACUGAUUUGUCUGGUCAAUUCCGAUAACGAGCGAGAUUCUAGCCUACUAAAUAGACGUUCCGCUCCUCUCUGGCGGACGCUCUUCUUAGAGGGACAGGCGGCGCUUAGCCGCACGAGACUGA
RNAcentral lists this ribosomal RNA (283 nucleotides) under Minanapis casablanca. RNAcentral describes it as "partial 18S ribosomal RNA". It matches the Rfam family "Eukaryotic small subunit ribosomal RNA", at positions 1144 to 1447 of the family's 1831-position model. Lineage: Eukaryota; Metazoa; Arthropoda; Arachnida; Araneae; Anapidae. The record is from RNAcentral.